RNAcentral lists this ribosomal RNA (351 nucleotides) under Cardinium endosymbiont of Tetranychus urticae. RNAcentral describes it as "bacterial SSU rRNA". It matches the Rfam family "Bacterial small subunit ribosomal RNA", at positions 498 to 851 of the family's 1533-position model. RNAcentral also lists the same sequence under 1 other name. Lineage: Bacteria; Pseudomonadati; Bacteroidota; Cytophagia; Cytophagales; Amoebophilaceae. The record is from RNAcentral.
UAAUUCCGUGCCAGCAGCCGCGGUAAUACGGAAGGUGCAAGCGUUAUCCGGUUUUAUUGGGUUUAAAGGGUGCGUAGGCGGCUUAUUAAGUCAGUAGUGAAAUCCUAGUGCUUAACGCUAGAACUGCAAUUGAUACUAUUAGGCUUGAGUUAAGAAGAGGUAAGCAGAAUUUAUGGUGUAGUAGUGAAAUGCUUAGAUAUCAUAAGGAAUACCAAUAGCGUAGGCAGCUUACUGGUCUUUAACUGACGCUGAGGCACGAAAGCGUGGGGAGCAAACAGGAUUAGAUACCCUGGUAGUCCACGCCGUAAACGAUGAUCACUCGAUAUACAUGAAACUUCGUGUGUGUCUAAG